CCUACGGGAGGCAGCAGUAGGGAAUAUUGCUCAAUGGGGGAAACCCUGAAGCAGCAACGCCGCGUGGAGGAUGAAGGUUUUCGGAUUGGAAACCCCUGUUGGUAGAGAAGAGAAGGACGGUACCUAACGAAUAAGCACCGGCGAACUCCGCCCCAGCAGCCGCGGUAAUACGGAGGGUGCAAGCGUUACUCGGAAUGACUGGGCGUAAAGGGAGCGUAGGGGGGAUGGCAAGUCAGAUGUGAAAUCCUAUGGCUUAACCAUAGAACUGCAUUUGAAACUGUUAUUCUAGAGUAUGGGAGAGGUAGGUGGAAUUCUUGGUGUAGGGGUGAAAUCCGUAGAGAUCAGGAGGAAUACUCAUUGCGAAGGCGGCCUGCUAGAACAUAACUGACGCUGAUGCGCGAAAGCGUGGGGAGCAAACAGGAUUAGAUACCCUUGUAGUC
Molecule: ribosomal RNA, 440 nt
Filed under: uncultured bacterium
Lineage: Bacteria
Description: partial 16S ribosomal RNA
Rfam family: Bacterial small subunit ribosomal RNA
Source: RNAcentral